AAACUGAAUGUAUGCCUCUGUUAUUAUGGGCGGGCUCCCAAUUUCAACACUUGAAAGUAAAGACUGAAAUGUAUUCCUCUCGUUAUACAGGUGGGCGCCUGGAUCAUGGAAUGCAAAUACUAAAAUGUAUUCCUCUCGUUAUACAGGUGGGCGCCUGGAUUUAGGAAAAUGACUCUUUUUUUUUCAAACGUUUUUCUUUUCUUUUCUUUUUUUUUUUGGUAUCUUAGGAGAAAGAUUCAUCAGACUAAGAUUUUGAUCCUAGGAGAAGGUUCAUCAGACUAGGUCUUUUCUUUUUGUUAUCUUAGGAGAAAGAUUCGUCAGACUAAGAUUUUGAUCCUAGGAGAAGGUUCGUCAGACUAGGUCUCUAUCUUAGGAGAAAAAUUCAUCAGACUAAGAUUUU
RNAcentral lists this long non-coding RNA (400 nucleotides) under Nicotiana tabacum (common tobacco). RNAcentral describes it as "long non-coding RNA (NTAB_LNC007882)". Lineage: Eukaryota; Viridiplantae; Streptophyta; Magnoliopsida; Solanales; Solanaceae. The record is from RNAcentral.